RNAcentral lists this ribosomal RNA (484 nucleotides) under uncultured bacterium. RNAcentral's name for it is "partial 16S ribosomal RNA". It matches the Rfam family "Bacterial small subunit ribosomal RNA", at positions 30 to 507 of the family's 1533-position model. The record is from RNAcentral.
AUUGAACGCUGGCGGCAGGCCUAACACAUGCAAGUCGAGCGGAUGAAGGGAGCUUGCUCCUGGAUUCAGCGGCGGACGGGUGAGUAAUGCCUAGGAAUCUGCCUGGUAGUGGGGGAUAACGUCCGGAAACGGGCGCUAAUACCGCAUACGUCCUGAGGGAGAAAGUGGGGGAUCUUCGGACCUCACGCUAUCAGAUGAGCCUAGGUCGGAUUAGCUAGUUGGUGGGGUAAAGGCCUACCAAGGCGACGAUCCGUAACUGGUCUGAGAGGAUGAUCAGUCACACUGGAACUUAGGCAAGGUCCAGACACCGACGGGAGCAGGCAGGGGGGAAUAUUGGAGAAUGGGGUAGGAUUUGAACCAACCAUGGGGGGUGAGGAAGGAAAGUCUUCGGAUCGUUUAGCACUUUAAGUUGGGAGAAAGAACAGUAAGUUAAUACCUUGCUGUCUGGACGUGAGCAAAAGAAUAAGCACCGGCUAACUUCGUG